Molecule: ribosomal RNA, 787 nt
Filed under: uncultured bacterium
Lineage: Bacteria
Description: bacterial SSU rRNA
Rfam family: Bacterial small subunit ribosomal RNA
Source: RNAcentral
AGAGUUUGAUCAUGGCUCAGGAUGAACGCUAGCGGCAGGCUUAACACAUGCAAGUCGAGGGGUAUAGGUUUUCGGACCUAGAGACCGGCGCACGGGUGCGUAACGCGUAUGCAAUCUACCUUUCACAGAGGGAUAGCCCAGAGAAAUUUGGAUUAAUACCUCAUAGUAUUAUAGAGUGGCAUCAUUUUAUAAUUAAAGUUCCAACGGUGAAAGAUGAGCAUGCGUCCCAUUAGCUAGAUGGUAAGGUAACGGCUUACCAUGGCUACGAUGGGUAGGGGUCCUGAGAGGGAGAUCCCCCACACUGGUACUGAGACACGGACCAGACUCCUACGGGAGGCAGCAGUGAGGAAUAUUGGUCAAUGGACGCAAGUCUGAACCAGCCAUGCCGCGUGCAGGAUGACGGUCCUAUGGAUUGUAAACUGCUUUUGUGCGAGAAGAAACACUCCUACGUGUAGGAAUUUGACGGUAUCGUAAGAAUAAGGAUCGGCUAACUCCGUGCCAGCAGCCGCGGUAAUACGGAGGAUCCAAGCGUUAUCCGGAAUCAUUGGGUUUAAAGGGUCCGUAGGCGGUUUAGUAAGUCAGUGGUGAAAGCCCAUCGCUCAACGGUGGAACGGCCAUUGAUACUGCUAGACUUGAAUUAUUAGGAAGUAACUAGAAUAUGUAGUGUAGCGGUGAAAUGCUUAGAGAUUACAUGGAAUACCAAUUGCGAAGGCAGGUUACUACUAAUUGAUUGACGCUGAUGGACGAAAGCGUGGGGAGCGAACAGGAUUAGAUACCCUGGUAGUCC